UACGUAGGGUGCAAGCGUUCAUCGGAAUUACUGGGCGUAAAGCGUGCGCAGGCGGUGAUGUAAGACAGAUGUGAAAUCCCCGGGCUCAACCUGGGAACUGCAUUUGUGACUGCAUCGCUGGAGUGCGGCAGAGGGGGAUGGAAUUCCGCGUGUAGCAGUGAAAUGCGUAGAUAUGCGGAGGAACACCGAUGGCGAAGGCAAUCCCCUGGGCCUGCACUGACGCUCAUGCACGAAAGCCAGGGGAGCAAACGGG
RNAcentral lists this ribosomal RNA (253 nucleotides) under uncultured bacterium. Its description in RNAcentral is "partial 16S ribosomal RNA". It matches the Rfam family "Bacterial small subunit ribosomal RNA", at positions 524 to 776 of the family's 1533-position model. The record is from RNAcentral.